UACGAAGGGGGCGAGCGUUGUUCGGAUUUACUGGGCGUAAAGGGCGCGUAGGCGGCCCUCCUUGUCGCGUGUGAAAGCCCCGGGCUCAACCUGGGAAUUGCGCGCGAAACGGGGGGGCUUGAGUUCGGGAGAGGAGCGUGGAAUUCCCAGUGUAGAGGUGAAAUUCGUAGAUAUUGGGAAGAACGCCGGUGGCGAAAGCGGCGUGCUGGACCUCUUCUGACGCUGAGGCGCGAAAGCCAGGGGAGCAAACGGG
Molecule: ribosomal RNA, 253 nt
Filed under: uncultured bacterium
Lineage: Bacteria
Description: partial 16S ribosomal RNA
Rfam family: Bacterial small subunit ribosomal RNA
Source: RNAcentral